AGAUUACCACGAUGAUUUAUAAGAAACUCACUGUACUUUGAUGUCAGACUAACUGAGUUUCUAAUUCAAUGAUGAAAAAUUUUUGAAUACAGUCAAGUACUUGUCAAGUCAAUAUAUAAGUCAAGAUGGGAUUGACCCCUCUGAAUUAGUAAGAGUUAAUGUAUCAAUGUAUUUCAAUUUAGCAAAACCUGAGCUCGGAUAAUUCAUGAGAUGAAUUUGAAAAGGUUUGAAAUACAAUGUGGAUGAUAUAUCUAGGAUUAAUAGUUAAAUCAUAGGUU
RNAcentral lists this long non-coding RNA (278 nucleotides) under Elaeis guineensis (African oil palm). Its description in RNAcentral is "long non-coding RNA (EGUI_LNC021521)". The record is from RNAcentral. Lineage: Eukaryota; Viridiplantae; Streptophyta; Magnoliopsida; Arecales; Arecaceae.